CAGCAGUGGGGAAUAUUGCACAAUGGGCGCAAGCCUGAUGCAGCCAUGCCGCGUGUAUGAAGAAGGCCUUCGGGUUGUAAAGUACUUUCAGCAGUGAGGAAGGUGGGUAUGUUAAUAGCAUACUCAUUUGACGUUAGCUGCAGAAGAAGCACCGGCUAACUCCGUGCCAGCAGCCGCGGUAAUACGGAGGGUGCGAGCGUUAAUCGGAAUUACUGGGCGUAAAGCGCAUGCAGGUGGUUUGUUAAGUCAGAUGUGAAAGCCCGGGGCUCAACCUCGGAAUUGCAUUUGAAACUGGCAAACUAGAGUACUGUAGAGGGGGUAGAAUUUCAGGUGUAGCGGUGAAAUGCGUAGAGAUCUGAAGGAAUACCGGUGGCGAAGGCGGCCCCCUGGACAGAUACUGACACUCAGAUGCGAAAGCGUGGGGGCAAACAGGAUUAGAUACCCUGGUAG
This 450-nucleotide ribosomal RNA is filed under the name uncultured bacterium. RNAcentral describes it as "bacterial SSU rRNA". It matches the Rfam family "Bacterial small subunit ribosomal RNA", at positions 349 to 793 of the family's 1533-position model. The record is from RNAcentral.